UUGACUUUCUAUUUAAUGUAAGUACUUAAGACAGAGCCACCUUUUAAUAUUUCAGUAUUUCAAACUUCUAAUUUCUGGAACUUCACAUACUUCCAAAAAGAAAAAAAACAACCCUGGUUUUGUAGUGAUCAUAUCAUUCCUUAAGUGCCUUUGCAACUAGAUGAAUACUCAGCAACCAACACCUAGCAGAAACAGCCUCACAAGAAAGUUAGUUCAAAUCUGUUCAUUUAAUAAAUAAUUAGAUCUUACUUACUAUGCAUGAAACCUCCAGAGCGCAGUUCAGUAUUCCUCCAAGUUACAAGCCAAAUCAUGCUCAGAUACAGGCCUCAGACGAGGUUUCAAUUUAUAGGAAUCAUGGUCUUUAAAGUUAUUAUAUAAAUGAGGCAUAUUCUUAAAUUUGAGAGAUUUUUCUACACAUUCUGCCAACCAGAAAUGGACCAUUCUGCAGCAGAAAAAUUAAAACUAUGAUCACUUGGAAAACAUGGAGAAAAAUGCUGCUCAAAUCAUAGGAGGUUGCAAAUAAAAAUAAUCAUAUAGGUAUACCCCAAACAAUGAUGGACAUAAAUUUAAAGAGACAAAUCUACUUAACAGCAAUGUAUUUAGAUUGUAACAAUCAGCUAUUUUGGAAUAUAUUCAAAGAACUGCAGUCCAUCAAGGAGUUUAAGUUCAGUUAAAAUAUGGGCUACCAUUUCACGGUCCUACACAGCACUGGGAGGAACCUGUACAUUGCCAGUAGAAAACUAAUAAUUAAAUAGCAAGACAAUUGCCUUGCCUCUGCUUGUCAGAUUUCAGAUGCAUGCUUAAGGUAUAGCACUUCACCCUCCUGAAAAUUUUAAUGUGAAUACAGCCAGCUUACAUUCAGGAAAUAAAAAUUCCUUUAUAGCUGACUCAGAGUCAUAACCAUAGUGUUAGACACGCUGUGAUAAGUUUUAAUUUUGUUUUCCACUACAGAGCAGUGGAACUGUUUUCCUCUGAAAUAAGUCGUGUAUGGCAGAGGAUGGCAGACAAAGGGCUUCACCAAGAACAUACGCCCCCUCAAAAAGAUAUGAAACCAGACUGGAAGAAUUGCUGGAGUGUUAAUUUACUACCUGGUGUCUGUCUCCUGGAGGAAGAGGAACAAAAACUGGAAAGCAGUAGUCUCCCGGUGGAAUCUUGGCUGGAGGCUCACCAGUUCAUACCAGCCUUAUUUAUGAUGGUUUGUGGUGAUGCUGGAGCCUGCACAACCUCCUACUGAAGAAGACCUGGCUAAUGCUGAUGCUCUACUACUGACCUCAUAUAUUUCCAGAUGCAGUCCAUGAGAACAUUUUGCCCUGCCUUUAAAAUACCAUAUACUGUACAUGUAAGUAAACAUUACAAGUAGAAAGAGACAGUCUGGAAAUACAUUCACUUUAAUGGUAGUUCUGCCCAUCUGGUGAAUCUGCAGUCCUACUUAUUGUGAGC
RNAcentral lists this long non-coding RNA (1440 nucleotides) under Calidris pygmaea (Spoon-billed sandpiper). RNAcentral's name for it is "lncRNA (ENSCPGG00000011043.1)". Lineage: Eukaryota; Metazoa; Chordata; Aves; Charadriiformes; Scolopacidae. The record is from RNAcentral.